Molecule: long non-coding RNA, 801 nt
Organism: Bactrocera dorsalis (oriental fruit fly)
Lineage: Eukaryota; Metazoa; Arthropoda; Insecta; Diptera; Tephritidae
Exons: 5
Source: RefSeq, a predicted model, not a curated record
GAAUAGUAACUAGCCUCAAAUUGAGACUUUAAGGUUAGGUUCCAGCUCUCAAGUAAAUGCUGAAGAAAUUAUUGAUAUUAUUUCUUUUGUGUGAAAUAGUAGUUAGCAAGAAAUUUUGACAUUUCAUAUCGCACCGUGAAUGUUGAAAAGUAAAAGAAGAAGAGUGUGAAAAUUAAUCAAACGUAAAAGAUAUUUGAGGAAAGCAAUUGGUGGUCAAGUGAAAAACUAAUAAAACGGAAUAGAAAUUUGAGCAGGAGUAAUUGUGUAUGUGUAUAAAAAAGCAAAGAGUUAUUCAAACGUAAAAGAUAUUAGAGCAAAGCAAUUGGUGGUCAAGUGAAAAACUAAUAAAACGGAAUAGAAAUUUGAGCAGGAGUAAUUGUGUAUGUGUAUAAAAAAGCAAAGAGUUAUUCAAACGUAAAAGAUAUUAGAGCAAAGCAAUUGGUGGUCAUUUUUAGUAUCCAUAAUGGAAGACGAAGAGUUAAAUCUUAUGAUGUUGUUGAACUGUGGCGCAUUCAUGACCAUCAUAGAGUUUGGAAAAACCAAAUUAAGACGCAGGAGACCCUGUCAUUGGGUGAGCCCUUAUCUCAAGGCGAGAAAUGUCAUCAUCAAAAUGUCUCAAAUAGAGAAUAGAGACUGGUUACAGAAUCCCGCUCAAAAUAUUGCCUCAAAUUUGAGACCUGAUAGUUAGCAGGUCACAAACCUAAAAAGAGCUCUUGUCUGCCAUUUUGAAUAUACUGAAUAGAGAUCAUCACAGAUAUUAAUCGAUUGUCGUAUUUUUAUAUUUUGUAAGCAACUCAAACA